AUUAGAAAAGCUCCCAAUAUCCUCCGCUAAGUAGCAAACAAUGCCUCAAUUUGAUGAUAUUACUCCGAAUCAAGUCUUUUUAGAAAUAUCCUGAGGAAACAUAGGGAUGUCUUCCCCAGAAUGCAUUUGGUUUCUUUUUUUAUACCCAUCGUCGUUCACGGAGGUGCAGCUCAUCGCAAACCUGGAACGGUUUUGAGAUUUUGGUGUGUUUUCUGGAUGGACUUUUCUAUGGAAUAUAUGUAGGAUCUGCAUUUAAGAUUAGUUAGGAAACUUAACUGAAAGUUUAACAGUUUCAUGUCACAUGCAACUUACCUCAGACCAUUAGGUGAUUAAGGGAGUGUUUGCAUUUGCUUUU
Molecule: long non-coding RNA, 355 nt
Organism: Helianthus annuus (common sunflower)
Lineage: Eukaryota; Viridiplantae; Streptophyta; Magnoliopsida; Asterales; Asteraceae
Exons: 2
Source: RefSeq, a predicted model, not a curated record